RNAcentral lists this ribosomal RNA (680 nucleotides) under uncultured Bacilli bacterium. RNAcentral describes it as "bacterial SSU rRNA". It matches the Rfam family "Bacterial small subunit ribosomal RNA", at positions 28 to 691 of the family's 1533-position model. Lineage: Bacteria; Bacillati; Bacillota; Bacilli. The record is from RNAcentral.
GAUGAACGCUGGCGGCGUGCCUAAUACAUGCAAGUAGAACGCUGAAGCUUGGUGCUUGCACCGAGCGGAUGAGUUGCGAACGGGUGAGUAACGCGUAGGUAACCUGCCUCUUAGCGGGGGAUAACUAUUGGAAACGAUAGCUAAUACCGCAUAAAAGUCGACAUCGCAUGAUGUUGACUUGAAAGGUGCAAUUGCAUCACUAAGAGAUGGACCUGCGUUGUAUUAGCUAGUUGGUGAGGUAACGGCUCACCAAGGCGACGAUACAUAGCCGACCUGAGAGGGUGAUCGGCCACACUGGGACUGAGACACGGCCCAGACUCCUACGGGAGGCAGCAGUAGGGAAUCUUCGGCAAUGGGGGCAACCCUGACCGAGCAACGCCGCGUGAGUGAAGAAGGUUUUCGGAUCGUAAAGCUCUGUUGUAAGAGAAGAACGAGUGUGAGAGUGGAAAGUUCACACUGUGACGGUAACUUACCAGAAAGGGACGGCUAACUACGUGCCAGCAGCCGCGGUAAUACGUAGGUCCCGAGCGUUAUCCGGAUUUAUUGGGCGUAAAGCGAGCGCAGGCGGUUAGAUAAGUCUGAAGUUAAAGGCUGUGGCUUAACCAUAGUACGCUUUGGAAACUGUUUAACUUGAGUGCAGAAGGGGAGAGUGGAAUUCCAUGUGUAGCGGUGAAAUGCGU